Etheostoma cragini (Arkansas darter) is the source of this 71-nucleotide long non-coding RNA. RefSeq lists it as uncharacterized. The record is from RefSeq and is a predicted model, not a curated record. The transcript is spliced from 3 exons. NCBI's taxonomy places the organism in Eukaryota, Metazoa, Chordata, Actinopteri, Perciformes, Percidae.
CUGGUAGGUCAACAUAUAAAUAGUCCAUAUGAAAUAACCAAAGGUGAAGCCUGAGUUUGUAUGCUCCUGUG